AAGUAAAAUUGAGAAUGGAAAUGGGGAAUGUGUCAAAGAGACAACAACCCGACCAAAUAAAAAACAAUAGCAGAGGGUCACCAACAGGUCUUCAAUGUAGCGAGAAAUUCCCGCACCCGGAGGCGUCCUUCAGCUGGCCCCUAAACAAAUAUAUACUAGUCCAGUGAUAAUGAACGCCAUACUAAUUUCCAAAUUGUACACAAGAAAC
Molecule: long non-coding RNA, 208 nt
Filed under: Mytilus galloprovincialis (Mediterranean mussel)
Lineage: Eukaryota; Metazoa; Mollusca; Bivalvia; Mytilida; Mytilidae
Source: RNAcentral